RNAcentral lists this ribosomal RNA (819 nucleotides) under Cellulosimicrobium sp. MOLA 1573. RNAcentral describes it as "bacterial SSU rRNA". It matches the Rfam family "Bacterial small subunit ribosomal RNA", at positions 30 to 861 of the family's 1533-position model. The record is from RNAcentral. Lineage: Bacteria; Bacillati; Actinomycetota; Actinomycetes; Micrococcales; Promicromonosporaceae.
CGAACGCUGGCGGCGUGCUUUACACAUGCAAGUCGAACGAUGAUACCCAGCUUGCUGGGUUGAUUAGUGGCGAACGGGUGAGUAACACGUGAGUAACCUGCCCCUGACUUCGGGAUAAGCGCUGGAAACGGCGUCUAAUACCGGAUAUGAGCUGUCCUCGCAUGGGGAUGGUUGGAAAGUUUUUCGGUUGGGGAUGGGCUCGCGGCCUAUCAGCUUGUUGGUGGGGUGAUGGCCUACCAAGGCGACGACGGGUAGCCGGCCUGAGAGGGCGACCGGCCACACUGGGACUGAGACACGGCCCAGACUCCUACGGGAGGCAGCAGUGGGGAAUAUUGCACAAUGGGCGAAAGCCUGAUGCAGCGACGCCGCGUGAGGGAUGACGGCCUUCGGGUUGUAAACCUCUUUCAGUAGGGAAGAAGCGAAAGUGACGGUACCUGCAGAAGAAGCGCCGGCUAACUACGUGCCAGCAGCCGCGGUAAUACGUAGGGCGCAAGCGUUGUCCGGAAUUAUUGGGCGUAAAGAGCUCGUAGGCGGUUUGUCGCGUCUGGUGUGAAAACUCGAGGCUCAACCUCGAGCUUGCAUCGGGUACGGGCAGACUAGAGUGUGGUAGGGGUGACUGGAAUUCCUGGUGUAGCGGUGGAAUGCGCAGAUAUCAGGAGGAACACCGAUGGCGAAGGCAGGUCACUGGGCCACUACUGACGCUGAGGAGCGAAAGCAUGGGGAGCGAACAGGAUUAGAUACCCUGGUAGUCCAUGCCGUAAACGUUGGGCACUAGGUGUGGGGCUCAUUCCACGAGUUCCGUGCCGCAGCUAACGCAUU